AUUCAUCUGCCUCUCACAGUUUGGGAUUACUUGAUCCUAUGCUACACUGAGUAAGAAUGGAACUUGAUGAUGAUGUUAAUAUUAAUGCUUGUCAUAAAUUGUUUGGAAACUAUGCUUGUUUAGUAUAGUUGCUAACUUAGACUGGUAAAUGAACGUAGAACUUGUGGCUAAAAUAUUGAAAGUAAGGACCUACACUAGUCGCUUUUGGUAAAAACAAACCCCCUAGCCAAAAAGCUUGCAUGUCUAGGUGUUGGUGGAUUACUACCACUGGUCGGUUAAGU
RNAcentral lists this long non-coding RNA (281 nucleotides) under Setaria italica (foxtail millet). Its description in RNAcentral is "long non-coding RNA (SITA_LNC005124)". Lineage: Eukaryota; Viridiplantae; Streptophyta; Magnoliopsida; Poales; Poaceae. The record is from RNAcentral.